GCGUCGCCGUGGGCCGAGCCUGGCGAAGCGCUGCUCGCCCGAGAUCGCGCAGCUUGGAAUGAAAAGACGAGAAAACAGCUUCUAUCACCAUGACAGCCACCUGGACACACCUAUCUCUGUUGGCAAGGGGGAGCAUUUGGAAAAUGGUAAGCAUCUUUUCCUUAUUGAUGUACAUCUGGUUGUCCAAAUGUCUGUAUCACUUGAGGUAUAAGCCAGAGAAGGUGGACACACAUGCAGGCAAGUUUGUACCUGGGAGCAGAAAUGCAAAGGCUUUUGCUGAGACCUUUUACAGAGAGAGGGUGCUGCAGUAAAAGCUUCCAACCCCAGCCCUUCUAAUCUGUGUCCAGAAGGAAGUGCUUGGUCCCCAACAGAUGCCUACUUGACACUUGCUGAUGGACAGCUUGUCAAUUUCAUCUAACAAACCGGAAUCACUGGGGCCAUCCAGGAAUCACAGCAGCUCAUGAAGAAAUUCCACAUGAACAGGGCUGUUAAAAGCCAACCCGCCAGAAAGGGUAGAACGGAGGAAGGACAAGAGGGUUCUAACACCUCCUGGAGGCAGGGCACCCACGGAAGUUUCUCAACACUUCUCGUUGAUUCAAGUGGAAGACCUUGAAGAGAGGCCCUUCUGUUUCCCUACACGGUGGACAGCAGAGCUCUGAAAAUUAGAUGCUUCCCCAAACCCAGACUCUCUUGGAACAUUCUUCCCAUGCGGGUGGUAUGAACUGCGUGGCACUGCUGUCCUCGCUGGCAUAUAUAGAUUUACACUCCACGCACGAGACUUCCAAGGCAACACCUAGGAUUUAGAGACUAUGUUCUCAGAGACGGGCAUGGAGGCAACGUCCUGGUUCUCAUGUGGUCAAGAAGGUAGAUGGAGAGAAACG
RNAcentral lists this long non-coding RNA (881 nucleotides) under Homo sapiens (human). RNAcentral's name for it is "HSALNT0225819". The record is from RNAcentral. Lineage: Eukaryota; Metazoa; Chordata; Mammalia; Primates; Hominidae.